UACGGGGGGGGCAAGCGUUGUUCGGAAUUACUGGGCGUAAAGGGUUCGUAGGCGGCUUGCUAAGUCAGACGUGAAAUCCCUCAGCUUAACUGGGGAACUGCGUCUGAGACUGGCGAGCUUGAGGGUAGGAGAGGAACGCAGAAUUCCAGGUGUAGCGGUGAAAUGCGUAGAUAUCUGGAGGAAUACCGGUGGCGAAGGCGGCGUUCUGGACUACAUCUGACACUGAGGAACGAAAGCCAGGGGAGCAAACGGG
This 253-nucleotide ribosomal RNA is filed under the name uncultured bacterium. RNAcentral describes it as "partial 16S ribosomal RNA". It matches the Rfam family "Bacterial small subunit ribosomal RNA", at positions 524 to 776 of the family's 1533-position model. The record is from RNAcentral.